This 492-nucleotide ribosomal RNA is filed under the name Vibrio cf. shilonii. Its description in RNAcentral is "bacterial SSU rRNA". It matches the Rfam family "Bacterial small subunit ribosomal RNA", at positions 38 to 510 of the family's 1533-position model. The record is from RNAcentral. Lineage: Bacteria; Pseudomonadati; Pseudomonadota; Gammaproteobacteria; Vibrionales; Vibrionaceae.
GGCGGCAGGCCUAACACAUGCAAGUCGAGCGGAAACGAGUUAACUGACCCUUCGGGUGACGUUAACGGCGUCGAGCGGCGGACGGGUGAGUAAUGCCUGGGAAAUUGCCCUGAUGUGGGGGAUAACCAUUGGAAACGAUGGCUAAUACCGCAUAAUGCCUUCGGGCCAAAGAGGGGGACCUUCGGGCCUCUCGCGUCAGGAUAUGCCCAGGUGGGAUUAGCUAGUUGGUGAGGUAAUGGCUCACCAAGGCGACGAUCCCUAGCUGGUCUGAGAGGAUGAUCAGCCACACUGGAACUGAGACACGGUCCAGACUCCUACGGGAGGCAGCAGUGGGGAAUAUUGCACAAUGGGCGCAAGCCUGAUGCAGCCAUGCCGCGUGUGUGAAGAAGGCUUCGGGUUGUAAAGCACUUUCAGCAGUGAGGAAGGCGGGUACGUUAAUAGCGUGCUCGUUUGACGUUAGCUGCAGAAGAAGCACCGGCUAACUCCGUGCCA